This 356-nucleotide ribosomal RNA is filed under the name Patrus sp. Pasp897. RNAcentral's name for it is "partial 12S ribosomal RNA". Lineage: Eukaryota; Metazoa; Arthropoda; Insecta; Coleoptera; Gyrinidae. The record is from RNAcentral.
UAUAAAUGUAAAUAAAUAUUACUAAAAGAUUAAUAGUUAAGUUCUUUAAAUUUAAAAAAUUUGGCGGUAUUUUAGUCUAUUUAGAGGAACCUGUUCUGUAAUUGAUAAUCCACGAUUAGAAAUACUUGAAUUAAUAAAUUUGUAUAUCGUUGUUUAAAGAAUUUUAUAAGAAUUAUAAUUUUUGAUAAAUUUAAUAAAAUUGUUAAUCAAAUCAAGGUGCAGUUAAUAUUUAAGGAUGAAAUGGGUUACAAUAAAUUUUAUUUAUAUGAAUUAAUUUAUAUUUUAAAUAUUUAUGAAGGUGGAUUUAAUAGUAAUUAUAAUUAUUUUAUUAUAAUGAUUAAAGCUCUGAAAUAUGU